Molecule: ribosomal RNA, 446 nt
Filed under: uncultured bacterium
Lineage: Bacteria
Description: partial 16S ribosomal RNA
Rfam family: Bacterial small subunit ribosomal RNA
Source: RNAcentral
CCUACGGGAGGCAGCAGUCGAGAAUCAUUCACAAUGGGGGAAACCCUGAUGGUGCGACGCCGCGUGGGGGAAUGAAGGUCUUCGGAUUGUAAACCCCUGUCAUGUGGGAGCAAAUUAAAAAGAUAGUACCACAAGAGGAAGAGACGGCUAACUCUGUGCCAGCAGCCGCGGUAAUACAGAGGUCUCAAGCGUUGUUCGGACUCACUGGGCGUAAGGCGUGCGUAGGCUGUUUCGUAAGUCGUGUGUGAAAGGCGCGGGCUCAACCCGCGGACGGCACAUGAUACUGCGAGACUAGAGUAAUGGAGGGGGAACCGGAAUUCUCGGUGUAGCAGUGAAAUGCGUAGAUAUCGAGAGGAACACUCGUGGCGAAGGCGGGUUCCUGGACAUUAACUGACGCUGAGGCACGAAGGCCAGGGGAGCGAAAGGGAUUAGAUACCCCUGUAGUC